UACAGAGGGUGCAAGCGUUAAUCGGAAUUACUGGGCGUAAAGGGUGCGUAGGUGGUGAAUUAAGUUGGAUGUGAAAGCCCCGGGCUUAACCUGGGAAUUGCAUUCAAUACUGGUUUACUAGAGUCGGGUAGAGGGAGGUGGAAUUUCCGGUGUAGCGGUGAAAUGCGUAGAGAUCGGAAGGAACACCAGUGGCGAAGGCGGCCUCCUGGACCUAGACUGACACUGAGGCACGAAAGCGUGGGUAGCAAACAGG
This 253-nucleotide ribosomal RNA is filed under the name uncultured bacterium. RNAcentral's name for it is "partial 16S ribosomal RNA". It matches the Rfam family "Bacterial small subunit ribosomal RNA", at positions 524 to 776 of the family's 1533-position model. The record is from RNAcentral.